Molecule: ribosomal RNA, 2188 nt
Filed under: Escherichia coli
Lineage: Bacteria; Pseudomonadati; Pseudomonadota; Gammaproteobacteria; Enterobacterales; Enterobacteriaceae
Description: partial 23S ribosomal RNA
Rfam family: Bacterial large subunit ribosomal RNA
Source: RNAcentral
GUUAAGCGACUAAGCGUACACGGUGGAUGCCCUGGCAGUCAGAGGCGAUGAAGGACGUGCUAAUCUGCGAUAAGCGUCGGUAAGGUGAUAUGAACCGUUAUAACCGGCGAUUUCCGAAUGGGGAAACCCAGUGUGUUUCGACACACUAUCAUUAACUGAAUCCAUAGGUUAAUGAGGCGAACCGGGGGAACUGAAACAUCUAAGUACCCCGAGGAAAAGAAAUCAACCGAGAUUCCCCCAGUAGCGGCGAGCGAACGGGGAGCAGCCCAGAGCCUGAAUCAGUGUGUGUGUUAGUGGAAGCGUCUGGAAAGGCGCGCGAUACAGGGUGACAGCCCCGUACACAAAAAUGCACAUGCUGUGAGCUCGAUGAGUAGGGCGGGACACGUGGUAUCCUGUCUGAAUAUGGGGGGACCAUCCUCCAAGGCUAAAUACUCCUGACUGACCGAUAGUGAACCAGUACCGUGAGGGAAAGGCGAAAAGAACCCCGGCGAGGGGAGUGAAAAAGAACCUGAAACCGUGUACGUACAAGCAGUGGGAGCACGCUUAGACGUGUGACUGCGUACCUUUUGUAUAAUGGGUCAGCGACUUAUAUUCUGUAGCAAGGUUAACCGAAUAGGGGAGCCGAAGGGAAACCGAGUCUUAACUGGGCGUUAAGUUGCAGGGUAUAGACCCGAAACCCGGUGAUCUAGCCAUGGGCAGGUUGAAGGUUGGGUAACACUAACUGGAGGACCGAACCGACUAAUGUUGAAAAAUUAGCGGAUGACUUGUGGCUGGGGGUGAAAGGCCAAUCAAACCGGGAGAUAGCUGGUUCUCCCCGAAAGCUAUUUAGGUAGCGCCUCGUGAAUUCAUCUCCGGGGGUAGAGCACUGUUUCGGCAAGGGGGUCAUCCCGACUUACCAACCCGAUGCAAACUGCGAAUACCGGAGAAUGUUAUCACGGGAGACACACGGCGGGUGCUAACGUCCGUCGUGAAGAGGGAAACAACCCAGACCGCCAGCUAAGGUCCCAAAGUCAUGGUUAAGUGGGAAACGAUGUGGGAAGGCCCAGACAGCCAGGAUGUUGGCUUAGAAGCAGCCAUCAUUUAAAGAAAGCGUAAUAGCUCACUGGUCGAGUCGGCCUGCGCGGAAGAUGUAACGGGGCUAAACCAUGCACCGAAGCUGCGGCAGCGACGCUUAUGCGUUGUUGGGUAGGGGAGCGUUCUGUAAGCCUGCGAAGGUGUGCUGUGAGGCAUGCUGGAGGUAUCAGAAGUGCGAAUGCUGACAUAAGUAACGAUAAAGCGGGUGAAAAGCCCGCUCGCCGGAAGACCAAGGGUUCCUGUCCAACGUUAAUCGGGGCAGGGUGAGUCGACCCCUAAGGCGAGGCCGAAAGGCGUAGUCGAUGGGAAACAGGUUAAUAUUCCUGUACUUGGUGUUACUGCGAAGGGGGGACGGAGAAGGCUAUGUUGGCCGGGCGACGGUUGUCCCGGUUUAAGCGUGUAGGCUGGUUUUCCAGGCAAAUCCGGAAAAUCAAGGCUGAGGCGUGAUGACGAGGUACUACGGUGCUGAAGCAACAAAUGCCCUGCUUCCAGGAAAAGCCUCUAAGCAUCAGGUAACAUCAAAUCGUACCCCAAACCGACACAGGUGGUCAGGUAGAGAAUACCAAGGCGCUUGAGAGAACUCGGGUGAAGGAACUAGGCAAAAUGGUGCCGUAACUUCGGGAGAAGGCACGCUGAUAUGUAGGUGAAGUCCCUCGCGGAUGGAGCUGAAAUCAGUCGAAGAUACCAGCUGGCUGCAACUGUUUAUUAAAAACACAGCACUGUGCAAACACGAAAGUGGACGUAUACGGUGUGACGCCUGCCCGGUGCCGGAAGGUUAAUUGAUGGGGUCAGCGCAAGCGAAGCUCUUGAUCGAAGCCCCGGUAAACGGCGGCCGUAACUAUAACGGUCCUAAGGUAGCGAAAUUCCUUGUCGGGUAAGUUCCGACCUGCACGAAUGGCGUAAUGAUGGCCAGGCUGUCUCCACCCGAGACUCAGUGAAAUUGAACUCGCUGUGAAGAUGCAGUGUACCCGCGGCAAGACGGAAAGACCCCGUGAACCUUUACUAUAGCUUGACACUGAACAUUGAGCCUUGAUGUGUAGGAUAGGUGGGAGGCUUUGAAGUGUGGACGCCAGUCUGCAUGGAGCCGACCUUGAAAUACCACCCUUUAAUGUUU